This 2338-nucleotide ribosomal RNA is filed under the name Tachythereua sp. MCZ DNA102575. Its description in RNAcentral is "eukaryotic LSU rRNA". It matches the Rfam family "Eukaryotic large subunit ribosomal RNA", at positions 85 to 1867 of the family's 3401-position model. The record is from RNAcentral. Lineage: Eukaryota; Metazoa; Arthropoda; Chilopoda; Scutigeromorpha; Scutigeridae.
AACGGCGAGUGAACAGGGAAGAGCCCAGCGCCGAAGCCUCCGUCCCGCGCGGGCGGCAGGCAAUGUGGCGUUCGGGAGAAACCACUCCUUCCGGAAGCUGUCCGGGAGCCCAGGUCCCCCUGACUGGGGCCAUCGCCCGUUGAGGGUGCAAGGCCCGUGCGGCUCUUGGCGUCCGGAGGACGGUUUUUCUUCUCCCGGGAGUCGGGUUGCUUGGGAGUGCAGCCCUAAGAGGGUGGUAAACUCCAUCUAAGGCUAAAUACUUCCACGAGACCGAUAGCAAACAAGUACCGUGAGGGAAAGUUGCAAAGAACUUUGAAGAGAGAGUUCAAGAGUACGUGAAACCGCUCGUAGGCAAACGGGUGGGCCCUCGAAGGCAAGCAGGAGGGGAUUCAACCCGUUGGCAGUCGAACGUGCGCUUCGGUUUUUUCUCGAAACGGAUCCGAGAGACCGGCCCGUGGCGCCGCGGUCGUCAGCGGGCGCACUUCCCCUUCUCGCGUCCCGAUACUACGGUUUCGGGACCGAACGCCGCGACCGGUCGGGAGAUACGACGGCGGCCAAGCGGCGAGACCGGGCAGGUAUCCUACUCGUCCUUUCUGCUUCUUCGGGGGCAGGAUUGCUUGUAGAGAGUUUCAGCCCGUCUCGACCCGGCUCCGCCGCCCGACGUGGUGUAAACCGAGGUUCGAUAACCGCGCAUGCGCUUACGACGCUCGAGCCCGUCUCGCACGUAAGGGUUUCUCUGGGCGCCGAUAGACCCAWAAAAAUUCCCCCCCCGCUCACGGCGGUUACACGAAGCGGUCGCCCUGCGUUGCGUUGGACGUGCGCUCUCGUUAUUCUGUUGGCGCUUGUGGUYGGCGGCGAGUAGGUCGGUAACCCMCCCGMCCCGUYUUGAAACMCGGACCAAGGAGUUUAACAUGUGUGCNAGUYGUAGGGUUCGCUCGAAACCCGAAGGSSCRGUGAAAGUAGAGGUCGGCAUUUARCCCCGGCCGAGGCGGGAUCCGUYUUCCCCAAAAAAAAAUAGUUACUUUUUUUCUCUUUGCCCUUUGUCUUCUGGUUGGGGGCGGCUUAACCCUUUCGGGGGUUGGCCACCUUUCGUUUACUCCGGAUCUUGGGGCAAGUUGACGGCGCACCGCCGGCCCGUCUCGACCGCCGCGUCGGUGAGGCGGAGCAAGAGCACACACGUUGGGACCCGAAAGAUGGUGAACUAUUCCUAGGCAGGACGAAGCCAGAGGAAACUCUGGUGGAGGUCCGUAGCGUUUCUGACGUGCAAAUCGAUCGUCAGACCUGGGUAUAGGGGCGAAAGACUAAUCGAACCAUCUAGUAGCUGGUUCCCUCCGAAGUUUCCCUCAGGAUAGCUGGCUCUCGAGACACACAGUCUCAUCCGGUAAAGCGAAUGAUUAGAGGCCUUGGGGCCGAAACGACCUCAACCUAUUCUCAAACUUUCAAUGGGUGAGAAGUCCGGCUUGCUCGACUGAAGCCCGGACGUCGGAUGCGAGUGCCCAGUGGGCCACUUUUGGUAAGCAGAACUGGCGCUGUGGGAUGAACCAAACGCCGGGUUACGGCGCCAAAUGCGACGCUCAUCAGACACCAUGAAAGGUGUUGGUUGCUAUAGACAGCAGGACGGUGGCCAUGGAAGUCGGAAUCCGCUAAGGAGUGUGUAACAACUCACCUGCCGAAGCAACUAGCCCUGAAAAUGGAUGGCGCUCAAGCGUCGAGCCUAUACCCGGCCGCCGGGGCAGAGCCCGUCAAAACUUUUUCUCUUUCCCUCGCGGGUUGGAGAAGAAAGAAACUUAACGGCCCCAGACGCCCCGGCGAGUAGGAGGGUCGCGGCGGUGAGCGGAAAAGGGUCGGGCGUAGGCCCGCCUGGAGCCUCCGCCGGUGCAGAUCUUGGUGGUAGUAGCAAAUACUCGAGUGAGAACCUUGAGGACUGAUGUGGAGAAGGGUUCCAUGUGAACAGCAGUUGAACAUGGGUCAGUCGGCCCUAAGGAAUAGGGAAAUCCCGUUCCGAACGGGGGGUUGCCUAUUACAAGAAUAUAACCCCCGCCCAGACCGAAAGGGAAUCGGGUUAAUAUUCCCGAACCCGGACACGGAGAUCGGGCCCUUGGUGGUCCAGUGCGGUGACGCAAACCACCUCGGAGACGUCGGCGGGAGUCCCGGGAAGAGUUGUCUUUUCUUUGUAAGGGACGGAAUCCCUGGAAUCGGUUCGCCCGGAGAUAGGGAUGUGGUUUCCGUAAAGCACCGCGCCUCCUGCGGUGUCCGGACAGCUCUCGUCGGCCCUUGAAAAUCCGAGGAAGGUAGUGCGAUUUUCGUGCCGGGCCGUACCCAUAUCCGCAGCAGGUCU